GAUGAACGCUGGCGGCGUUCCUAAUACAUGCAAGUCGAGCGAACAGACGAGGAGCUUGCUCCUCUGACGUUAGCGGCUGACGGGUGAGUAACACGUGGAUAACCUCCCUAUAAGACUGGGAUAACUUCGGGAAACCGGAGCUAAUACCGGAUAAUAUAUUGCACCGCAUGGUUCACUAGUGAAAGACGGUUUUGCUGUCACUUAUAGAUUGAUCCGCGCCGCAUUAGCUAGUUGGUAAGGUAACGGCUUACCAAGGCGACGAUGCGUAGCCGACCUGAGAGGGUGAUCGGCCACACUGGAACUGAGACACGGUCCAGACUCCUACGGGAGGCAGCAGUAGGGAAUCUUCCGCAAUGGGCGAAAGCCGGACGGAGCAACGCCGCGUGAGUGAUGAAGGUCUUCGGAUCGUAAAACUCUGUUAUUAGGGAAGAACAAAUGUGGAAGUAACUAUGCACGCCUUGACGGUACCUAAUCAGAAAGCCACGGAUAACUACGUG
Molecule: ribosomal RNA, 497 nt
Filed under: uncultured bacterium
Lineage: Bacteria
Description: partial 16S ribosomal RNA
Rfam family: Bacterial small subunit ribosomal RNA
Source: RNAcentral